CCUGAUUUCUGCGGCCGUAGCAGGAUAUCGAGCAGAAAAUCUACUCGAAUGAGUUUUUGUGUGGAGAAGGAGCGGGAGACGUAGAGGAGAGGGGCAUUCGGCUCCUUCGUUCUUUCGUUUCCGUCCCGAUCCAGAGAGCGAGCGAGAGAUAGAGAGCAGUAGAGAGCGAGAGAUCCAGAGAGCGAAAGGCCUAGUCCAAGCAGAACUCCUUUCCGCGCUCAGGGCUCAUUCGAGCGACUGUCUCCCGUGUCCCAUGACUACCUCACGAGCAGGCAUCCCUCCCGCGUGCGGGAGUCCCUUCCAGCUCCUCUCCCGCGUGCGACAGUUCCGUCCGAGCUCAUCCAGGGCCUCGGCCAGACCUACCAGGAGGUUCGACUCUUUCUUUCGCCGGACCUGUGCGACCCGACCACCUCGGCUCCGUCUCGACCGACGCAAGGAAGGCUUUACAUUUGCUGCAGUGGCUUCUCCUCCUUUCUCUUCCAACUCCGGCGACCUCUUGACGACGAAAUCAGCUUCGGGAGACUGUUAAACAGCAAAAUCUGCUGUUUGGAAUGUGUAGACAGCAGCCACGCAGCUUCCGGGAGCCUUCUAACAGUGAAAACGUCUUUCCAGAGUGCUUUGGACAGCAAAUCCACCUCUCGGAGCGGCUUGGACAGCGACUUUGGAGCAUGGACAGUGAGCCGGAACUUGGAUAGGAGCGCUAGAACAACUCGGGAGAGGCGCUGCUUAAACCCCCUAAAAGGCAUGACCAAUAGGGUAGAAGUAUGGGCCUAGCACUUAGCACUCUAAGUGCUAGGCCAAUUUUGGGAAUAUAAUAUGAUUAUCAUAUAAAUUGCUGUUUAACUCUGUCUUGCAGGUUUGAGUCUUUUUUUAUUUUUAUAUCAUGUAUUUGAUUAGAAGUAAGAUGUGAACUUGUGGGGGUUUGGAGCAAAAGAAGGGAGCAAAAUGAAAAAGAUGUACAUUUUGGGAGAUGAAGCCCAAAGAACUUUUGUAAAGCUUGAAGACCCCACAAGUAGAGUCUGUAAUUAAUUUAACUUAGUUGUAUAAUGACAGGCAACUCAGCUGCUAAACAUGUUUGUAAUAACUGGGACAUUAUUUAGAUUUCUGUCUUAAUUUAUAUAUAAGCAUGUAUUGAAGUGUUUA
Dendrobium catenatum is the source of this 1143-nucleotide long non-coding RNA. RefSeq lists it as uncharacterized. Lineage: Eukaryota; Viridiplantae; Streptophyta; Magnoliopsida; Asparagales; Orchidaceae. The record is from RefSeq and is a predicted model, not a curated record. The transcript is spliced from 2 exons.